Molecule: unclassified non-coding RNA, 211 nt
Filed under: fungal sp.
Lineage: Eukaryota; Fungi
Description: partial internal transcribed spacer region
Rfam family: Eukaryotic small subunit ribosomal RNA (bases 1-46)
Source: RNAcentral
AAGUCGUAACAAGGUUUCCGUAGGUGAACCUGCGGAAGGAUCAUUCUUGAUAAUGUGUAGCUUAUGCUAUCACUAAAUAUGUGCACUGUUACCUGCCAUUUGGCGGCCGAAAGGUCGUCGUCUGGCGCUGUUUUUAAUAUACCUAGCAACUUUUUGUACCAGUAAUCAUAAAAUCUUAUGACAACUUUUAGCAAUGGAUCUCUAGGCUCUC